This 1681-nucleotide long non-coding RNA is filed under the name Equus caballus (horse). RNAcentral describes it as "lncRNA (ENSECAG00000060085.1)". The record is from RNAcentral. Lineage: Eukaryota; Metazoa; Chordata; Mammalia; Perissodactyla; Equidae.
CAUCGGUGUGCAGGUGCUGGCUGAAACCACGGGGAAAGUGUGUUGAGUGCAAAGAGCAUUGAGUCAAGGGCAGUGCCCUGUGGACCAUGUAAGGAGCAGGCAGAGGAAGAGGGGCCAGGAAAGAGCAGAAAGGCCGGGGAGACACAAGGACAACCUGGAGGGUGUGGUUUCAUGGGAGCUGAAGGGCAGCAUGUGACAGGACAUUGACCAAGUGUCCCCAAGCAUCGCAUACUGUAAGACGUCCCCCGGGUUUGGCAAUCCAGAGGUCUCAGGUGCCCUCAGCACCAGGAAGGUCAAGAGAAGCGUGGCGUUGGAGGCCAGGACGUAGUGGGCAGAGGAAUGAGCAGGAGCUAAGAAACUGGAAAGAACAGUAUGACCUGUGACGUCACAAGGACUGCCCUCGGAUAGGACAGGGACCACAGAGGGGUGAGAACAGUUUGUAGGUCAGAGAGCGAGGAGCUGAGGGAGACCAGACAGAACAGCCUUGAUUGUCCCGAGGAACCGAGAUGAUGCCCCCCCCCACCCCCCCACCCCGGGACCACAGCCAGCCGUCCUCCUCCUCCGUGGCGGGCUGUGCGCCUGGGGGUCGCAGCAAGAGUUCAGUCUCUCAUUUUGUUAUUGCUGUUAGUCAGCUGGUGAAUAUUUACUGAGCAUGAACAAUGUCCAAGGCCUCGUGCAGGUAACUGAGGAAAAUACAAGAAUGACGUGACUGAGUCCUGCUCAGAGGCGCUCUGGGCCUUGGAGCCUGGGGAGUCGCUGCACCCCAGGGGAAGUCAGAAGCUGGGCUGGGUCAGGAUGCUGAGCUGGUGCACACGAGCGUAUUCAUGCAUUCAACAGACCCGCUGGGGGCUGUGACGUGCCCCGCACUGACCAGGUGCUAAGAAUACAUCAGAGAACAGAACAGACCACAACCCUGCUCCUGUGGCCCCUGCCACAUUAGGGGAGACAGUCUAUAGAGGUAACAGGAUUGUUAUAACAGACGUGAUACAUGCAAAAUGCCUGGCCCAGAAUAGGAGCACGUGACGGUCCUGUAAGUUGGUUCACUCAAAAUCUAUUCUCCAACAUCUCCUUCUUGGCCUUCCUCUACUAGAGAAGAGAGAAGAGGAAAUGAUACUCAAGCUUCCAGCUCCCCUGUACUUAGGGGUGGCCACAAAACCCAGCUACGGCCAAUGAGAGGAAGGUAGAAGUCCUUGACUUUUCCAAAUCUAAAAGCAGAGCUUCUGAGCAGCAAGUCCUUACUCCUCUGUUCUUCCCUCAUACCUUCUUGCCUGGAACUCAACUUGAGGGUAGAGGUAGAGCAGCCAUCUUGUAGUCAUGAGGUAACGAGCACAGAUCAGAAGUGAAGAAUGAUGGGGUAGCAAGACAAAAAGUACUGAGUGCUUAAUGACAUCACUGAGCCACUAUUUUAGCCCAUGGCUACCUGCCCAGAAAUUUAUUGUUGUGUGAGACAACCGCCUUCCUGGUAUGAGCCAAUGUUUGUUGGGGUUUCUGCUAUGUGAAGCAAAUGCAAUCAAUAACAACAGCUAUCAUCACCAUCAUCAUCCCCACCACCAUCACCGCUAUCAUCACCAUCUCUGCUCUCCUGCAUCUGCAACAACCUCCAGCUCGCAGCUUUAGAUUUUAUUAUCUAAUUGGGAGCCAAUUAAGACUUACUAAAUGAACCUCUGAAGUGUCAUUUCCC